UUGAAAGGGAAACGAUUGAAGUCAGUCGUACCAGCGGGAAAUCAACCUUUCGGGUGGGGUUUUGGAGUUUUGAAGAGUGUUAAAACCUUUGAGAUUUCAAAAUGUUUGCUCUUUUGGUGUACUUUCUCGUAGGUAGGUUAACGUCGAUCUUGAAUGCCAUAAAAUAAUUGGGGGAAGGUAGCUCCUUCGGGAGUGUUAUAGCCCUUGAUAGAUGUGAUGUUUGGGGUCGAGGAUUGCAACGGAUACCCUUUGGGGCUAGCCGCCUGAUCUCUAAUCGGUGUUGGGUUACGGAUAGCAUGCUGACCGUGAUCUAAUUACUGGUUAAAAGGUUAGAGCGUGCAUAAAUUCGUUAAGGAUGUUGACGUA
RNAcentral lists this ribosomal RNA (366 nucleotides) under uncultured Glomeromycotina. Its description in RNAcentral is "LSU rRNA". Lineage: Eukaryota; Fungi; Glomeromycota. The record is from RNAcentral.